CGUUAGCGGCGGACGGGUGAGUAACACGUGGGUAACCUACCUAUAAGACUGGGAUAACUUCGGGAAACCGGAGCUAAUACCGGAUAAUAUUUCGAACCGCAUGGUUCGAUAGUGAAAGGUGGUUUUGCUAUCACUUAUAGAUGGACCCGCGCCGUAUUAGCUAGUUGGUGAGGUAACGGCUUACCAAGGCGACGAUACGUAGCCGACCUGAGAGGGUGAUCGGCCACACUGGAACUGAGACACGGUCCAGACUCCUACGGGAGGCAGCAGAU
Molecule: ribosomal RNA, 272 nt
Filed under: uncultured Staphylococcus sp.
Lineage: Bacteria; Bacillati; Bacillota; Bacilli; Caryophanales; Staphylococcaceae
Description: partial 16S ribosomal RNA
Rfam family: Bacterial small subunit ribosomal RNA
Source: RNAcentral